Molecule: ribosomal RNA, 460 nt
Filed under: uncultured bacterium
Lineage: Bacteria
Description: partial 16S ribosomal RNA
Rfam family: Bacterial small subunit ribosomal RNA
Source: RNAcentral
CCUACGGGUGGCAGCAGUGAGGAAUAUUGGUCAAUGGACGCGAGUCUGAACCAGCCAAGUAGCGUGAAGGAUGACUGCCCUACGGGUUGUAAACUUCUUUUAUAAAGGACUAAAAUGAGGCACGUGUGCCUUUUUGUAUGUACUUUAUGAAUAAGGAUCGGCUAACUCCGUGCCAGCAGCCGCGGUAAUACGGAGGAUCCGAGCGUUAUCCGGAUUUAUUGGGUUUAACGGGAGCGUAGAUGGGUUGUUAAGUCAGUGGUGAAAGUUUGUGGCUCAACCGUAAAAUUGCAGUUGAUACUGGCAGUCUUGAGUAUAGUUGAGGUAGGCGGAAUGCGUGGUGUAGCGGUGAAAUGCUGAGAUAUCACGAAGAACUCCGAUUGCGAAGGCAGCUUACUAAGCUGCCACUGACAUUGAUGCUCGAAAGUGUGGGGAUCAAACAGGAUUAGAUACCCGAGUAGUC